Molecule: ribosomal RNA, 467 nt
Filed under: uncultured bacterium
Lineage: Bacteria
Description: partial 16S ribosomal RNA
Rfam family: Bacterial small subunit ribosomal RNA
Source: RNAcentral
GACGAACGCUGGCGGCGUGCUUAAUACAUGCAAGUCGAACGGAAAGGUCCGGCUCUUGUUGGGUGCUCGAGAGGCGAACGGGUGAGUAACACGUGAGUAACAUGCCCCUAUCAUAGUGAUAACAUCAGGAAACUGCGGCUAUUACCCGAUAGAAGCUACUGCUCCAUGGUGGUGGAUGGAGAGUUUCGGCGUUUGGGAUUGUACUAGCGGCUUAUCAGCCUGUUGGUCGGGUUGGUGCUUACCAAGGAUAGGAAGGGUAGCCGGCCUGGCAGGGUGACGGGCCCCAUGGGCAUUGGGGAGCGACCAGUACGCAAACGGGAGGCAGGGGCGGGAAUAUUGCAGAAUGGGCGGAAGCCUGAUGCAGCAACGCCGCGUGCGGGAUGACGGCCUUCGGGUUGUAAACCGCUUUCGCCGGUGACGAAGCGUGAGUGACGGUAAUGGGUAAAGAAGCACCGGCUAACUACGUG